This 374-nucleotide ribosomal RNA is filed under the name uncultured organism. RNAcentral's name for it is "partial 16S ribosomal RNA". It matches the Rfam family "Bacterial small subunit ribosomal RNA", at positions 527 to 896 of the family's 1533-position model. The record is from RNAcentral.
GUAGGUGGCAAGCGUUGUCCGGAAUUAUUGGGCGUAAAGCGCGCGCAGGUGGUUCUUUAAGUCUGAUGUGAAAGCCCCCGGCUCAACCGGGGAGGGUCAUUGGAAACUGGGGAACUUGAGUGCAGGAGAGGAAAGUGGAAUUCCACGUGUAGCGGUGAAAUGCGUAGAUAUGUGGAGGAACACCAGUGGCGAAGGCGACUUUCUGGCCUGUAACUGACACUGAGGCGCGAAAGCGUGGGGAGCAGACAGGGAUUAGAUACCCUGGUAGUCCACGCCGUAAACGAUGAGUGCUAAGUGUGGGGGGGGGUUUCCGCCCCCUCAGUGCUGCAGCUAACGCAUUAAGCACUCCGCCUGGGAGUACGGUCGCAAGACUG